RNAcentral lists this long non-coding RNA (215 nucleotides) under Volvox carteri. Its description in RNAcentral is "long non-coding RNA (VCAR_LNC002837)". The record is from RNAcentral. Lineage: Eukaryota; Viridiplantae; Chlorophyta; Chlorophyceae; Chlamydomonadales; Volvocaceae.
UGCAAAAUCCCUUCUCCCAACGCCACUUCGUCAUCAUUUUUUGUGCCAACCCUCCGUGUGCAACGGUUUGCGCCACAUCAGAAUUCCAUCCCCAACCAACAAGAUCUAUCGUUUCAGCGCACAUAUCAUAAAUGCCCCCCAACAUGGUGAUGCCCAUCUGCAUGUCUGCACCUCCUACUAAUUGUCAACCUCAGAUUGUGAGGGCCUUACCUCCC